Molecule: ribosomal RNA, 215 nt
Filed under: uncultured bacterium
Lineage: Bacteria
Description: partial 16S ribosomal RNA
Rfam family: Bacterial small subunit ribosomal RNA
Source: RNAcentral
GUCCCAGUUCAGAUCGCAGUCUGCAACCCGACUGCGUGAAGUCGGAAUCGCUAGUAAUCGCGGAUCAGCAUGCCGCGGUGAAUACGUUCCCGGGGCCUUGUACACACCGCCCGUCACACCAUGAGAGUCAGCAACACCCGAAGCCUGUGAGCUAACGCAAGAGGCAGCAGUCGAAGGUGGGGUUGGUGAUUGGGGUGAAGUCGUAACAAGGUAUC